GAUGAACGCUGGCGGCGUGCCUAAUACAUGCAAGUCGAGCGAACAGAUAAGGAGCUUGCUCCUUUGAAGUUAGCGGCGGACGGGUGAGUAACACGUGGGUAACCUACCUAUAAGACUGGGAUAACUUCGGGAAACCGGAGCUAAUACCGGAUAACAUUUAGAACCGCAUGGUCCUAAAGUGAAAGAUGGUUUUGCUAUCACUUAUAGAUGGACCCGCGCCGUAUUAGCUAGUUGGUAAGGUAACGGCUUACCAAGGCGACGAUACGUAGCCGACCUGAGAGGGUGAUCGGCCACACUGGAACUGAGACACGGUCCAGACUCCUACGGGAGGCAGCAGUAGGGAAUCUUCCGCAAUGGGCGAAAGCCUGACGGAGCAACGCCGCGUGAGUGAUGAAGGGUUUCGGCUCGUAAAACUCUGUUAUUAGGGAAGAACAAAUGUGUAAGUAACUGUGCACAUCUUGACGGUACCUAAUCAGAAAGCCACGGCUAACUACGUGCCAGCAGCCGCGGUAAUACGUAGGUGGCAAGCGUUAUCCGGAAUUAUUGGACGUAAAGCGCGCGUAGGCGGUUUCUUAAGUCUGAUGUGAAAGCCCACGGCUCAACCGUGGAGGGUCAUUGGAAACUGGGAAACUUGAGUGCAGAAGAGGAAAGUGGAAUUCCAUGUGUAGCGGUGAAAUGCGCAGAGAUAUGGAGGAACACCAGUGGCGAAGGCGACUUUCUGGUCUGUAACUGACGCUGAUGUGCGAAAGCGUGGGGAUCAAACAGGAUUAGAUACCCUGGUAGUCCACGCCGUAAACGAUGAGUGCUAAGUGUUAGGGGGUUUCCGCCCCUUAGUGCUGCAGCUAACGCAUUAAGCACUCCACCUGGGGAGUACGACCGCAAGGUUGAAACUCAAAGGAAUUGACGGGGACCCGCACAAGCGGUGGAGCAUGUGGUUUAAUUCGAAGCAACGCGAAGAACCUUACCAAAUCUUGACAUCCUUUGAAAACUCUAGAGAUAGAGCCUUCCCCUUCGGGGGACAAAGUGACAGGUGGUGCAUGGUUGUCGUCAGCUCGUGUCGUGAGAUGUUGGGUUAAGUCCCGCAACGAGCGCAACCCUUAAGCUUAGUUGCCAUCAUUAAGUUGGGCACUCUAGGUUGACUGCCGGUGACAAACCGGAGGAAGGUGGGGAUGACGUCAAAUCAUCAUGCCCCUUAUGAUUUGGGCUACACACGUGCUACAAUGGACAAUACAAAGGGCAGCUAAACCGCGAGGUCAUGCAAAUCCCAUAAAGUUGUUCUCAGUUCGGAUUGUAGUCUGCAACUCGACUACAUGAAGCUGGAAUCGCUAGUAAUCGUAGAUCAGCAUGCUACGGUGAAUACGUUCCCGGGUCU
RNAcentral lists this ribosomal RNA (1372 nucleotides) under uncultured bacterium. RNAcentral's name for it is "bacterial SSU rRNA". It matches the Rfam family "Bacterial small subunit ribosomal RNA", at positions 28 to 1381 of the family's 1533-position model. The record is from RNAcentral.